UCUUUUACUUCCUCAUCGCGAGCUAGUGAAGACGCAGCUUCUUUGGUUUAUCUGACAGUUACAAACAUACAGCGGAGAAAAAAACGGAUUCAACUACAGGCUUUGUGCGUCAUUGGAAUUGAGGGCAGCUCGUGACAGCGCGGUUUGGCCAACCGUUAACUGCGUGCCGCCAUCACCUUGUUCUGGAAGGCAGUUUGUGACAGCGCGGGUUGGCUAACAACCGUUAGCUACGUGCCCUCAUCACCUUGUUUUGGCCGGGUCUUUUAUGCGGGAGUCGCCUUUCAUUGAGGACAUCGUGGGAGAUCGCUUGCGAAGCAUUUUUUUUUUCCUUUUAUUUUUCCGCUCUCGACCUGUCGAGCCACAGGAGUGGUUGUCGAAGGAGGGACCGGUGGCGAGCUAACCCAACUUUCGAAACUGAACUGGACACUUUUUUUUGUUUCAGCUGGGAAUCUGGUAGGAACUUUCCAUAAUAGGGAAUGGGACGUACUACGUCAUUGUUUGGACCCGCCUCCAUGCUGGCAAUAUAAUUCACUUCCGGGCCGGCAGAGUCAAUGCGGAUUGUAACGUGUGGUAGUGCUAAGCUAACUCUUUCGGUGUUUUAGAAAGAAAAUAUGGGUGCUUAUUGUUGCAUUACCGGGUGCAACAGCGUCUCCUACGACAAAAAAAGGGGUUAGGAAAAAUGGACUCACUUUUCACCGUUUUCCUGCAUGGAGGACCAAAUAUCAGAUCACGAAGGUACGACGGAUGGCUGGAUUGCAGCUGUUCGUCGGAAAAGCAUUUCUUAUGAUCAUAUUUCUGCUGGAAUGAGAGUGUAUUCCCCUCAUCUCUACUCUUGUAAGUUGAACGAUUUAUCCGUUUUGGUUUCAAUACGUUUUUUGUUUUUGUUUUUUUCUUUACUGUUGUGUAAAUCUGCCUCGGUAGCAAUGCUAACCUACUCCUCCUCAUCACCUACCUGUUGUGUUACUAGGAAAACCUGCAUAUGAAAUGCUGACAACACAUCCCGAUUGGUCACCAUAUCUCUUCUUGGGUUAUUCUGAGGUCAAGCGCACCACAUCGGAGCGUUGAGAGGUUGGAAAGGCGAAGAGUGCACGCUGAAACUUCAGUUUGCUCUGCUCUUACAAACACGAUCCCAAGUGUUAUGAAAAGUCAAUAAAAUAUGAAUACCAAAACAUGACUUGAACAACUUCUUGACAAACUGUAACUGCUUGUUGUUUACUUCAGGUCUUCAUAAUAAACAGGUGUAACAAUUACAAAGUCAGGUGACUUAAUUUUGUUAUUCUAUUUGGAAUAUGCAUUGACAAUUUUUGGACAGUGUUGUAGACAAGAACUGGGACUGAUAAGUUGCAAUAGAUUUAUUUCAAGUAAUGCAAUUUCUCCAAUACGAUAUUUGAAUUGACAGUUUAAAAUCUUUAAAUUAGUGCAAACAAGGCCCACCCUCUGACGGUGGCAGCAAAUAUUAUAUAAGUAAUACACAAAUACAAGAUCACAAUAAACGUGUCUUUGUCAAAGCAGUUUAAAACACUAUUUACUGGUCUUGGGUAAAUUGCCAGACAGGAUAAAUAUGUGCUUUAAAGUUCUUGCAUUUCCAUUUUAAGUAUUGCAAGUACUAGUCUCCAACACAGUAUUUGAACUGACAGUUUAAAAUCAUUUUAGUACAAAAUGGCCCACACUCUGGCAGGGGGCAGCAAAUAUUAUAAUACAUAAUACAUUAUAAAAAGCUAUAUACUAUAUAAAUACAAGAUCACAACAAAACCUGUAUUUUUCAAAGCAAUUAAAAAACAUCCAGUGGCCUUAGGUAAAUAAAGGUGUAUAAAUAUGUACUUUACAGUUCUUGCAUUUCUAUUUUAGGUAUUGCAACUUUUCCAACACUAUUUGAAUUGACAGUCUGAAGCCUACAUAAGUGCAAAUAAGAAUAUUAUAAUUUUAAAAUAAUAAUAGAAUAUAUAAAUUCAACAUUACAAUGAAAGGUGUCUUUGUCAAAGUGGUUAAAAAAAAAAAAAAAAAAAAAAACGUCACUGGCCAUAGUUAAAUAGCCAGGCAGAAUAAAUAUGUGCAUUAAAGUUCUUGCAUUUUCACAAGUUAAAAGCCCGCAGUUCAUCGACGAGAAGGGCAGACCCAGAUGGCGUCUGCUGCAGGGGCUUGUUUGAGUCCGACACAGGACAAAUGGAACCACUCCAUUGAACAAAUUUUCUUUGUCAAAUGAUCCAAGAAGAGAGAUGGUGACCAAUCGGGAUGUGUUGUCAGCAGGUUUACCUAGGAACACAACAGGUAGGGGAGUCGUAGUAGGCGAGCAUUGCUACCGAGGCAGAUUAACACAACGAUGUAAAAAAACAAAAACGUAUUGAAACCAAAAGUGGAUAAAUCGUUCAACUUACAAGAGUAGAGAUGACAGGAACACACUCU
Molecule: long non-coding RNA, 2403 nt
Organism: Corythoichthys intestinalis (scribbled pipefish)
Lineage: Eukaryota; Metazoa; Chordata; Actinopteri; Syngnathiformes; Syngnathidae
Exons: 4
Source: RefSeq, a predicted model, not a curated record